UGCUGACCGGGGCGCUCGGACGUCCGGUGCGGCUCCAGACCGUGUCGGACGACGACGUCCGCGCGGCGCUCGGCUCGGCGGGCCUGCACCC
Molecule: transfer RNA, 91 nt
Filed under: Actinomadura cremea
Lineage: Bacteria; Bacillati; Actinomycetota; Actinomycetes; Streptosporangiales; Thermomonosporaceae
Description: tRNA-Trp
Source: RNAcentral